CCUACGGGGUGCAGCAGUAGGGAAUAUUGCUCAAUGGGGGAAACCCUGAAGCAGCAACGCCGCGUGGAGGAUGAAGGUUUUCGGAUUGUAAACUCCUUUUGUUAGAGAAGAUAAUGACGGUAUCUAACGAAUAAGCACCGGCUAACUCCGUGCCAGCAGCCGCGGUAAUACGGAGGGUGCAAGCGUUACUCGGAAUCACUGGGCGGAAAGAGCGCGUAGGCGGGAUAGCAAGUCAGAUGUGAAAUCCUAUGGCUUAACCAUAGAACUGCAUUUGAAACUGUUAUUCUAGAGUAUGGGAGAGGUAGGUGGAAUUCUUGGUGUAGGGGUAAAAUCCGUAGAGAUCAAGAGGAAUACUCAUUGCGAAGGCGACCUGCUAGAACAUAACUGACGCUGAUGCGCGAAAGCGUGGGGAGCAAACAGGAUUAGAUACCCUAGUAGUC
RNAcentral lists this ribosomal RNA (440 nucleotides) under uncultured bacterium. Its description in RNAcentral is "partial 16S ribosomal RNA". It matches the Rfam family "Bacterial small subunit ribosomal RNA", at positions 338 to 795 of the family's 1533-position model. The record is from RNAcentral.